Molecule: long non-coding RNA, 3009 nt
Organism: Equus caballus (horse)
Lineage: Eukaryota; Metazoa; Chordata; Mammalia; Perissodactyla; Equidae
Source: Ensembl
AAAGCUGCUCAUUGAUUUAUUUAUGCGCAUUUAUGCGUCUGUUACUGCUCUAGAUCCUCGGUGCACGGCGGCGGGCUCCUGCAGCCGGCUUCCCGCCCCCGGGCAGCCGGGGGUCGCCCUCAGGGCCCAGGAGUCCGGCGGCCCCGCAAACCAGCCGGCGCUCUGACUCCCGCAUCCGCGGACCUGCUUCGGUCCUGACAAACCACUGCGGGGCCGUUGGGCUCUGGGCUCUGGGUGACACUGUGUCCCCGAACCAACCAGCGUCGAAGCGCGCUUGAGGGGGUAGAGAGGAAGUAAUAAGCUAAAUGCAACUUUUACCCGUGUUUACUCGCCCUCCCGUUGUCUCCUCCCUCGGCCGGUAACGUGAUCUGCGACCCUCUAGGUGGGAACCCCUCCCCUAGGAAUGUGGCUUUGGGCUCUGCCGAAUCCUCCCCUUUCCAGUCCCGGCUGCGUGCGCACUGUGACUUCCUGAGGCAGGGGAGCCGAGCUCUCCCCGACUUUCGCCGCCGGCGUUCGGUGGCGCGGAGCUAGCCGAGCACUCGCCCGCGCCCUCGCGCAGUGGUCCCCUUGCCCCCAGGAGUCCCUUGCCCUCAGGACAUAGUUGUAUAUUCUAGUUGUGAGUGCCUCUGAUUGUGCUAUGCGGGACGCCACCUCAGCAUGAUCUGAUGAGCGGUGCCAUGUCCACGCCCAGGAUCUGAACUGGCAAAACCCUGGGCCAUAGAAGCAGAGCGCAUGAACUUAACCACUCGGCCACAAGGCCAGCCCCUAAAGAAAGUAUUCUUCAUGGGAAAUUAGAAAAAGAACAACUAAUUAAGCACAAAGGAAGUGCAAAUAAAAGGAAACAUAGUCAAAAGUUAAUUCUUUGAAAUGACUAAUAAAAUUAAUAAGCUCUUGGUGAGACUAAUUUUUAAAAGCACAAAUAAUGCCAAAAAAUGAAAAAAGGAACAUUUCUACAGAUUUUUCGAUCAUUAGAAAGAUAAUGAGACAAUAUUAUGAACAGUUUAACGCCAAGAAGUCUGAAAAUUUGGUUGAAAUAGACAAAUUCCUUGAGAAUGCAAUUUACCAAACUGGCACAAUAGGAAACAUAACGCCUGAAUAGUCCUGUAUCUACUUUUUAAAAUUAAGCCUAUAAUUUAAAAUCUUCCUACAAAGAAAACUCCAGGCUAGAGAGCUGCACCAAUAAGUUAUAUUUAAGGAAGAAAUAGCACAAAUCUUAGACAAACUCCUACAGAAAAUAGAAAAAGGAAAUAACCCCUGACUCAUUCUACAAGGCCAACAUAACCUUGAUACCAAAACCUAACAAAAGACAUUACAAGAAAGGAAAAUGACAGACUAAUCUCACUCAUAAACCUUGAUGUAAAGCUUAUAAACAAACGACUAGCAAAGUGAAUCCAGCAAUACAUAAAGAAGAUAAUAUAUCACGACCAUGGUGGGCUUAUUCUAGGUAUUUUAGCUUGGUUUAACAUUCAAAAAUCAGUCAAUGUAAUUCGCCAUAUUAAUGGAAUAAAAAAGAGGAAUCAUGAUCAUUUUAAUAGAUACUUUAGGAAAAGCAUUGAAUAAAAUUCAGCCUCAGUUAUGAUUUUUAAAAAAUAUAUAUAUGUGCCAGCAAAGUAGGAAUAGAAAAGGAUUUUCUUAGCUUUGUAAAGGGUGUACAAAACCUUCAACAAACAUGCCAAAUAGUAUAGAUGGACAAAAACCUACAAGCAUCAUACCAAAUAGUGAAAUAUUAAAAGCUCUCCCUUUGGAUGUCUGCUUUGACCACUUCUAUUCAACGUCAUAAUGGAGGACCAAGCCAGUGCAGUAAAUAGUACAAGAGAAAAGUGAAAGAUAUAAGUUUGAAAAGGAAGAACUAUCAUUGUUUACAAGAUGACCUGAUUUUGUAGAAAAAUCCACAAGUAUAUCGUUAGAAUUAAUCAGUGAGUUUCGUAAGGUUGCUAGUAUUGAUAUUAAAAUGUAUUUCUACAUACUAGUAUAAACUAUAGCCAGCCCCAGUGGUCUAGUGGUUAAAAUUUGGGACUCACUGUCACAGCCUGGGUUCGUUUCCUGGUCAGAGAACCACACCACCUGUCUGUCGCUUGUCAUAUUGUGGCCACAUUUGCUGUGAUGUGGAAAGCUAUGCAACCGGUAUUUCAAAUACCAGCAGGGUCACCCGUGGUGGACACGUUUCAACAGAGCUUCCAGACUAUGACAGACUAGGAAGAAGGACCUGGCCACCCCUUCCGAAAAAACUGGCCACGAAACCCGUGUGAACAGCAGGAGGACACUGUCUGAUACAGCACCAGAAGAUGAGAGGAUGGUGCACAAGACGGGGCUGGGUUCAGGUCUGCUGUACACACAUCCCUAGGAUUCGGAAUUGACUUGAUGACAUUAACAACAAAAAAAGUAUCUACUAUAUAAAGCAAAUACUCAGGUAGAAUAUAAAAAGUUUAAGACGAUACCUUACAACAGUGUCAAAAUAUUGAAUACGUAGGAAUUAAUCUAAUGAAAUGUGUGCCAGACCUCUAUGCAAAACUAAACAUUAUUGAAAGAAAGAAAGGAAAAUCUAAGUAAAUGGGAGUACACCAUGUGUGGCAGACAUAGAAAUGUCAGCUAGCAGCCCUUCAAGAAAGAACUUUCUGCUCAGCCAUGCAGACGUGGUCUGCACACAGCCAGCUCCUUCAGGAUCUGCCUUAGCCGUGAUCUGCCUUGCCUGAGGCUCCCAGAACAGCAUACAUACAGUGACUGAGGGAUACAGGGACAUAAAAGCCUGGCCAUUUUGACCCAAUGCAGGACACUUCAAAACCCUUGAGACUGAGGGCAACUCCCUGCCACGUUGACCGAAGCUUGUAGGGCUGGUACUCCCUCUGCCCAGUCUUGCUGCCUCCCUUUCCUUCCACAAAUGUGGAUCCCUAAUAAACAUCUUGCGACUUAAACUCUGUCUCUGCCUCUGCUUCUGAAGAACCUAACCUAUGAGAGCUGAUACCAGGAGUGGUCUGAGAAAGCAGGUGAUAAGAUGGAGUUUAGAAUCAG